This 735-nucleotide long non-coding RNA is filed under the name Apteryx rowi (Okarito brown kiwi). RNAcentral describes it as "lncRNA (ENSARWG00000012703.1)". Lineage: Eukaryota; Metazoa; Chordata; Aves; Apterygiformes; Apterygidae. The record is from RNAcentral.
CGGCGCGCCCGUUACCGCUUGUCCCGAGCCGAGCGCGGGGGGUUCCCGGCAGCGGGGAGGGCUGGGGCGGGCGGCCAGCCCCGCGCUGGUCCGGCGGGGCCGAGGGGCUCACGUGGGGACCCGCCGCGGGCCGUCCUUGGCUGGGUCCUGGCGCACUUCGUAAAAGACAAAUAACCCGAGCAGGAGUCUGACGGGAGACUCCCGGGCUGAGGCGCCCUGUUCGGCGCGUAAGAAAACAAUAUUUGAUGAAGCAAACUCUGAGUGCUUGCAUGCUUACUCUCCAGAUGGGACCCACAGUCACUAGACUUCAUGUAAUCUGAAAAAACAGGAUUUUUUAUGUGAGUUCCAAGAAAAGGAGGUAUUUAAAAAUCCUUGGAGCCAAGGUUUGCUGCCUUCAGCAUGGAACAGCCUCUGCUGUUCCCGAACAAUGUAUGUUGUGGAGGCCGGAGAGAAGGGGAGAAGGGAAGAACUGCCAGCGGGCUAGACAAUGGUAGCAAUAAGACUGUGCAAGACUUGCCUUGCUGCAUAAAACCCCUGUGCAAGCUAGAGGAUGUCUGCAGAAUGGUUCCAGUUUCAGCCCAGGUAAAUGCUGAAGCAUCAAAGCAUUGUGCUGCUCUUGGACUGCAAUCACAGCACUGGGCCAGGAAGGACUUGGAGGAAAUCAUAUCCCCGUGCUUGUGUUUGACAUCCAGCAGCAGCUGGCAAUGGCAGGAGCAGCCACAGAAACAGUUGUAG